ACCCGAGGAAACUCGGGCUAAUACCGGAUGUGCUCCCGCCACACCAGUGGCGUGAGGAAAGGAAGCUUCGGCCUCCGCAUCGGGAUGGGCCCGCGGCCCAUUAGCUUGUUGGUGGGGUAACGGCCUACCAAGGCGACGAUGGGUAGCUGGUCUGAGAGGACGAUCAGCCACACUGGGACUGAGACACGGCCCAGACUCCUACGGGAGGCAGCAGUGGGGAAUCUUGCGCAAUGCGCGAAAGCGUGACGCAGCAACGCCGCGCGGGGGAAGACGGCCUUCGGGUUGUAAACCCCUUUCAGUUGGGACGAAGUCCGGUCGGUGAACAGCCGCGCCGGGUGACGGUACCUUCAGAAGAAGCCCCGGCCAACUACGUGCCAGCAGCCGCGGUAAUACGUAUGGGGCAAGCGUUGUCCGGAAUCAUUGGGCGUAAAGCGCGUGUAGCGGCUCGGUAAGUCCGCUCUGAAAGCCCGGGGCUCAACCCCGGGGAGGCGGGCGGAAACUGCCGAGCUCGAGUCCCGGAAGAAGCGAGUGAAUUCCUGGUGUAGCCGGUGAAAUGCGCAGAUAUCAGAGGAACACCAAUGGCGAAGCAGCUCGCUUGGGACGUACUGACGCUGAGACGCGAAAGCGUGGAGCAAACAGAUUAGAUACCCUGGUAGUCACGCGUAACG
Molecule: ribosomal RNA, 668 nt
Filed under: uncultured bacterium
Lineage: Bacteria
Description: bacterial SSU rRNA
Rfam family: Bacterial small subunit ribosomal RNA
Source: RNAcentral